Molecule: RNA transcript, 4409 nt
Organism: Hordeum vulgare subsp. vulgare (domesticated barley)
Lineage: Eukaryota; Viridiplantae; Streptophyta; Magnoliopsida; Poales; Poaceae
Gene name: disease resistance protein RGA5-like
Exons: 6
Source: RefSeq, a predicted model, not a curated record
AUGGACCUAAUGGAGAUGGACAAGGAGGAGCCGACGAGGCAGGUGCUGGAUUCCAUCAGGACUGCGGGGAAGAAGAGGAAAAAGGAAGAUGAUGGGAUUCUUGAGGAGGAUUACAAGAGUUUCUUGCUUGACUAUCCAACCACAGUCACAGUUUCUGAUCUUGGUACCAAAUCAAGCGCCGAAUAUGAAGUCAAGCAAUCUGGUGCUCAACUGCCAGUCCUUGAGGAAGCUCGCUCAUUCACAUCAUCUGAUAUCUCAACACUAUUUGAUGGUUCAGUGAGUUCUUCGUUGGGCUCCAUGAGACCCCUUGUUGAGAAGCUCGACAAAUUGCUAGAUCCUGCUCAGGAAUACUACAGGAAGUUGCCGAAGAGGAUCAAGGAGGGGAUGCACCUUCUCAAAGAUGAUCUUGAAGUGAUAAGCUCCUACUUUGAUGAACUGUCAGAGGUGGAGGACCCUCCCCCGAUGGCCAUGUGCUGGAUGAAUGAGGCACGCGACUUGUCUUACGAUAUGGAGGAUUACAUUAACAGCUUAUUAUUUGUGCCACCUGACUGUUUCAUCAAGAAGAAGAAGAAGAAGAGGAAGAGGAGGAGGAGGAAGAAGAUGAUGAUAAAGAAGAGGCUUAAGUGGUACAAACAGGUUGCAUUCACAGUGCAAGUGUCAGAACAUGGUAUUAAGACAAGUAAAAUCAUUCAUGUUAAUACCCCUCGUCUUCCCAGUAAGCCCAAUAUUGCAGAAAAUAUAUCAGAGUUCAGGAUCUAUGUCCAGGAGGCUAUUGAACGGCACGACAGAUACAAGCUCCAUUGUUACAGCAACUUGAUGAGGCCUACAUUCUUAUCCACUGGCCGUAUGCUUCCAGCGCCAUAUGAAGAAACUGCACAAAUUGUAACCGAUGGCCGGAUGAACGAGUUUAUCAACUCACUGACAGCUACUGAUGCGGCCGGCAGGCAGCAGCCCAAGGUGGUAUCUGUUCUUGGAUCUGGAUGUAUGGGUAAAACUACACUUGCGAACACGCUAUACAGCAGAAUUGGGAUGCAAUUUGAUUGCAGAGCCUUCAUUCGAAUGUCCAAAAAGCCUGAUAUGAAGAGACUUUUCUGUGACCUUUUCUCGCAACUCCAGAAGAAGCAGCCGCUACCUGCCAAUUGUAAUGAGCUUGGCAUCAGUGACAAUAUCAACAACCAUCUGCAAGAUAAAAGGUAUCUAGUUGUUAUUGAUGAUUUGUUGGAUGCGUCAGCAUGGGAUAUUAUUAAAUACACAUUUCCAAUGGGAAACUGUGGCAGUAGAAUAAUAAUAACUACACAGAUUGAAGAUGUUGCGUUAACAUGUUGCUGUGAUCAAUCGGAGCAUGUUUUUGAGAUGAAACCUCUUGACGAUGAUCACUCAAGAAAGCUAUUCUUUAACAGACUUUUUGGUUCUGAAAGUGCCUGUCCUGAAGAAUUCAAACAAGUUUCAAACGAAAUUGUUAAUAUGUGUGGUGGUUUGCCGCUAGCAACAAUCAGUAUAGCUAGUCAUUUGGCAAAUCAUCAGACAGCAGUAUCACUGGAUUUGCUGACAUACAUACGAGAUUCAUUGAGGUCCCAUUUAUGGUCAAGUUCUACUUCGGAAAGAACAAGACAAGUACUGAACCUCAGCUACAGUAAUCUUCUCGUCGUCUGAAGACAUGUUUGAUGUAUCUUCAUAUGUAUCCAGAGGGCUCCAUAAUCUGGAAGGAUGAUCUGGUGAAGCAGUGGGUGGCUGAAGGUUUCAUCCCUACAAUAAAAGGGAAAGAGCAAGGUCAAGACUGGAUGGACAAAGCUGCAGGAAUCUAUUUCGAUGAACUUAUUGAUAGAAGAUUCAUCCAACCUUUAUAUAUCAACUACAGCAAUGAGGUGUUGUCCUGUACAGUUCAUGACGUGGUACGCGAUCUUAUUGCACACAAGUCUGCUGAAGAGAAUUUCCUUGUGGUAGUAGACCACAAUCGAAAGUAUAUAGCACUUUCUAAUAAGGUCCGUCGACUAUCUUUCGUCUUUGGUGACACAAUAUAUCCCAAGAUACCAGAAAACAUAACAAAGUCACAAAUUCGGUCAUUCAGAUUUUUGGGAUUAUUCGAGUGUAUGCCUUGUAUUAGAGAGUUCAAGGUUCUCCGUGUUCUUAACCUUCACCUAUCUGGUCAUAAUGGGGACCAUGACCCUAUAGACCUCACUGGGAUUUCAGAACUGUUUCAGCUCAGGUAUUUAAAGAUUACAAGUGAUGUGUGCAUAAAACUUCCGAACCAAUUGCAAAUGCUGCAAUGUUUGGAAACGCUAGAUAUUAUGGAUGCACCAAGAGUCACUGCUGUUCCAUGGGAUAUUAUACAUCUCCCACACUUGUUGCACCUGACUCUUCCUAUUGAUAUAUAUCUGCUGGGUUGGAUCGGCAUCAGCCUUUCCCUUGGCAAGCUGAACUACCUGCAGGAUCUUCGUCUUAUGUCAUGUAGACCUUCAUUUAUGGGCAUGGAAGCUCUUGCUUAUUUGAUUGGAGGACACGGCAACCUGAAAACUAUAGUCGUGUCUAAUAGCUCAUCGGCUAAAAGUAUCGAGGUUCUUGGCACCUCACAUAUAAUUUCCUGGGAUGACUUGAAGCCUCCCCCUCUUCUCCAGAGAUUGGAAUGCUCACCCCACAGCUGCAUCAUGUUUGCCCGAAUUCCUAAGUGGUUUAAAGAACUUGGCAACCUAUGCAUUCUGAAGAUUCCAGUGAGGCAACUAACGACAGGUUGUGUUGACAUUCUCGGAGGAUUGUGUGCCCUCACUGAUCUGUCGAUAUAUAUGAAGACGUCGCCCAUUCACAAGAUCGUAUUUCCCAAGGCUGGGUCCUCGAUUCUCAAGUACGUCAAGUUGAGGUUCUCAACUGGAAUAGCUUGCCUAAAAUUUGAGACGUAUGCAAUGCCUAUACUCUUGAAGCUCAGACUAGUUUUCAAUGCCAUCCCCCCUAUGGACCAACAACUUCAUUUUGCUCCGAGCCAUCCCCUGCACUAAUUAGAAUCGAGUUUAUGCCAGGUGUUAGAGAGAUGUCAGCAAAAUUUGUGGGUGCAGCUGCUGAUCUAGAGUAUGCCUCGAGGACCUUGGUUAGGAGUCAUCCGAGCAAUCCUAGAAUCAAUUUGCAAUUGGUGGAUAACGCGAGCUCAAAACAGGAACAACAACCAUAUGAGACUCUGGAUAUAUCAAAUUGGCAUCCAAAGAAAAAACCGCACGUGAUUGUGGAGGAAGCAGAAGAAGAAGCUGACGAGAGCAGGAUGAAUGCAUACCACAAGGAAUUGUUGAGCCGUGCUAGAGCAGCUGAUAAAAGGGUUUCAAGGUCAGGGGAGUCCUCUUCCUGCCAGGAAGUUCCAGAAUUUGACUGAAAGGCAGAGCUCUCAAAGGGCAAGUAAAAUGGAGAACAAGUGCAGUAGGAGGCUAACCAAGGCCGUAGCAGCAGCCAGCAGGUAGCUGCUUCUAUUUGAACUUGCAGCAGGUAGCAGAUUAGCUCAACUCGCACUAAUUUUUCUUGGUACUAUGUACAAUUUCAGUUAGGUGCCAGACAGCUAUAUGUAUGUAUAUGUAUGGGACUACAAUAAAUCUAUCUCAGUUUCCAUACAGUUGCUAUAUUACCAGGGUGGUCGCCGAUGCCUCCCAACGUGUUAUGUCCUGCGUGUCAGCUAUAUGUAUGUAUUACUGGCUGACAUCCAGAAAUAGCUGCAGUUUUGAAGUACUUCCCUACUCUGGACAGCAUCAGCCUAGUCAUGGCCCUUUUAUCUCAGAUGUCAACCGUUGGUCCUCCAAAUUGCAGAGACUGUUAUAAUCCUAAUGAUGAAUGCCCCCCCUCUGAAGAUAUGAUAUCCAUUCAGUAACUGCCAUCAUAAUAGCUAAGAAUUUCUUCUUGCAGACUGAUAGUUUAUGGUUAACAGGUCCUAAUACCUUGUUACAGAAGCAAUUGGGUAGCCAGCUUGAAGUGAAACUGCUCCAAUGCGAAUAUAUCACAGGCAUCUCUUUCAUUUAUGAAGGGUUGUUGAAAAUCUUGGGAGUGCUAUUUCAGGAGCACCACUCACUGCCUGUUUUGAGCUGCUCAAAAGCUUUCUGAGCAACCUCUGUCCAAUCAAAUAGUCUGUUCUGCAACAACACAGUCAGUGGUUUUGCAGCUAGACCAUAGUGAUGCAAAAACUUUCUAUAAUAGCCUGUUAACCCCCAAAACCUCCUCAGUUCAGUCACAUUAGUUGGUAUUGGCCAUUGGAGCAUAGCAGCUUUCUUUUCUGGAUCAGUAGAUAAUAUGCCUGGUGGUAUUUCAAUUGCUUUUGUGCAAAGGUGCACUUGCCGAGUUUUGCAGUGAGCUGAUUGUCCUGUAAUGUCAUGUCUGUAAUACAAUUUGUAGAUGAGCUACAUGAUCUCCCAAGGAUUUACUAUAGUCCAAUAUGUCAUCCA